GACGAACGCUGGCGGCGUGCCUAAUACAUGCAAGUCGAACGCUUCUUUCCUCCCGAGUGCUUGCACUCAAUUGGAAAGAGGAGUGGCGGACGGGUGAGUAACACGUGGGUAACCUACCCAUCAGAGGGGGAUAACACUUGGAAACAGGUGCUAAUACCGCAUAACAGUUUAUGCCGCAUGGCAUAAGAGUGAAAGGCGCUUUCGGGUGUCGUUGAUGGAUGGACCCGCGGUGCAUUAGCUAGUUGGUGAGGUAACGGCUCACCAAGGCCACGAUGCAUAGCCGACCUGAGAGGGUGAUCGGCCACACUGGGACUGAGACACGGCCCAGACUCCUACGGGAGGCAGCAGUAGGGAAUCUUCGGCAAAGGACGAAAGUCUGACCGAGCAACGCCGCGUGAGUGAAGAAGGUUUUCGGAUCGUAAAACUCUGUUGUUAGAGAGGAACAAGGACGUUAGUAACUGAACGUCCCCUGACGGUAUCUAACCAGAAAGCCACGGCUAACUACGUG
RNAcentral lists this ribosomal RNA (508 nucleotides) under uncultured bacterium. Its description in RNAcentral is "partial 16S ribosomal RNA". It matches the Rfam family "Bacterial small subunit ribosomal RNA", at positions 28 to 507 of the family's 1533-position model. The record is from RNAcentral.